UACGGGAGGCAGCAGUGGGGAAUAUUGCACAAUGGGGGAAACCCUGAUGCAGCGACGCCGCGUGAAGGAUGAAGUAUUUCGGUAUGUAAACUUCUAUCAGCAAGGAAGAAAAAUGACGGUACUUGACUAAGAAGCCCCGGCUAAAUACGUGCCAGCAGCCGCGGUAAU
This 168-nucleotide ribosomal RNA is filed under the name uncultured rumen bacterium. RNAcentral describes it as "partial 16S ribosomal RNA". It matches the Rfam family "Bacterial small subunit ribosomal RNA", at positions 340 to 524 of the family's 1533-position model. The record is from RNAcentral.